Molecule: long non-coding RNA, 1854 nt
Filed under: Vitis vinifera (wine grape)
Lineage: Eukaryota; Viridiplantae; Streptophyta; Magnoliopsida; Vitales; Vitaceae
Description: long non-coding RNA (VVIN_LNC006164)
Source: RNAcentral
AGCUCUACAGAUGCACAUGAUUCUAGAAAUAGUGCAUGGACCAUUGUACGAAGCUCAGCCACAGCCAGGUUUUUGGAGGCAGACCCUAUUCCAAAAAGGUAUCUUGUUUUUCUGAUAUUUUCUCUGGAGGACUCAGCUGGAAAUGUCCUCUGAAGAAUUGAUUCCACUGUAGCAACAAAUAUCUUCAUGAGACAUGCUUCAGAUGGACUUCCACGAGGAAGAUAUUCCAGGACUUUAAGAAGGGGUAUAUAAAGGUUCCAUGAUAAAAUGGGAGGUUGCAAUGGGGUUGCAACUAUAAUUUCAGGAAGAUCAACAGCUGAGGAACUUAAAGGAAUUAGGCCAUAAGCAGCUUCCCAUAUGGUGCAAAUUCUCCAUUCAACCUCGGGACCAUGUGCACAAAGCAUUGAUGCAAUCCCUUGGGCAGUGGCUUCAAUAGUUGCUUCAGUUGCAGGCACUUCUAUCUGGCAAGAGGGAUUUUUUUUUUUUCAAACGAAGUUAGGUUAUACAUAUGUUUGCAUAUGCAUCUGUGUGUGUGUGUGUGUGUGUGUAAAAUAACAGGUUAAGGUAGAUGAAUGCAUGAUCUGCACUCCAAAAACUGGAGGCAUUCAUCCCAAAGAAUAAAUUAGUUGGACACAAACAAUGAAAGCAAGUCACUAAUACCUGCUUCUUGUAGGAUGAAAUAUAACCAUCUAAAGGUUCAUGCUGAAAUUCAAAUCCUUCGACUUGUCUUAGAGGAGGAAAAAGCAAUGCAGGCUGUGAAAGUACGCGAAAAAGUAAUGCUGCAGCAGCAUCUGCAGCAAUCCCUGCUCUCAUGGACAUUGCAGUACCAAUUGCACGCAAGAAAUGCAAAUGCAUCCAGUUCCUUGGGAGCUAUAUCAAUAAGAAAAGCAAUUUAGAUAUGAGCAUUGAUGACAACUGAAUUCAUUAGUUGAACAAUGUCUAAAUCUGUUCUAAAUCCACAAUUUCAUUCACAGUAAACAACAUGAAUGAGUUCAUUAAUACUGCAUUCCACAACAAAUCUACCUCCUCAUUCUAUUGAUUACAUAUCAUCCGUUUUAUAUCUAUUAGCACAGUUCAAUUUUUAAGAUAACUUUCCAUCAUCUCACCUGAAUGGCUAUUUUUAGAAGCUCAGUCCACAUCUUAGUUAUUUUUUUUCUUUUGCUUUCUUUACAGCAGAGUCUGCACUAAUAGUCUAUUCUUAUUCAAUUUACGCGUACAGUUCUACAAUGUUAUUAGCAUAAGCACAUCUGCUAGUUUAAAUAAGUGUGCGUGUAUGUGUAAGAGUACAACAUCAGAUUCAUAAUGCCACAAAUUAUAUGCAUGAUUGUUUGAGAAAAGGAUGUUACACUACUGAAAACCUCAGAAAAGUAAAGCAUUGAUAAUAAAUGUUUGAGCAUAAACAUUGUGCAGUGCAGACACAUUGAAUGGACACUAACUCUUAAAACUCUUAACAUGGUUUUGAAUUUUGAAACAUUUACAUCAAAACAACCAAAAUAUUUGUAUUAGUGGAUGCUAGAUACCAAUAAAUAAAGCAUUUUUUUCAUUCUUCUUUUUCUUCAUUUUUUCAUUAGGGAAGCCCAGACCAAAAGAAAGGAGCAGCAAUCAAGGGUUCUUCACUCAAGUUAAAAUGUAAAUCACUAAUUUCAGCAUGAGAUAGAAUCCCAGAACCUGUAAAUCAUUCAGCUUGAUCUAGACCCUUUGUUAUUAAGACUUUUCUGGGUUUUUCUGGAUUUUUCUAAAGCCAUUUGGUGGAUGUUUGUGGCCUUUCUUAAUUAAACAGUAUCCUUUUGAUGCUUCUCCAGUUCAUGUCUGUGGAGAGAGAAUGUCUGAAAGGUAGGAUGAUGCAGCCAACAA